This 468-nucleotide ribosomal RNA is filed under the name uncultured bacterium. RNAcentral describes it as "partial 16S ribosomal RNA". It matches the Rfam family "Bacterial small subunit ribosomal RNA", at positions 28 to 507 of the family's 1533-position model. The record is from RNAcentral.
GACGAACGCUGGCGGCGUGCUUAACACGUGCAAGUCGAACGGAAAGGCCCUGCUUUUGUGGGGUGCUCGAGUGGCGAACGGGUGAGUAACACGUGAGUAACCUGCCCUUGACUUUGGGAUAACUUCAGGAAACUGGGGCUAAUACCGGAUAGGAGCCCCUGCUGCAUGGUGGGGGUUGGAAAGUUUCGGCGGUUGGGGAUGGACUCGCGGCUUAUCAGCUUGUUGGUGGGGUAGUGGCUUACCAAGGCUUUGACGGGUAGCCGGCCUGAGAGGGUGACCGGCCACAUUGGGACUGAGAUACGGCCCAGACUCCUACGGGAGGCAGCAGUGGGGAAUAUUGCACAAUGGGCGGAAGCCUGAUGCAGCAACGCCGCGUGCGGGAUGACGGCCUUCGGGUUGUAAACCGCUUUCGACUGUGACGAAGCGUGAGUGACGGUAAUGGGUAAAGAAGCACCGGCUAACUACGUG